RNAcentral lists this ribosomal RNA (301 nucleotides) under uncultured bacterium. RNAcentral describes it as "partial 16S ribosomal RNA". It matches the Rfam family "Bacterial small subunit ribosomal RNA", at positions 509 to 807 of the family's 1533-position model. The record is from RNAcentral.
CAGUCGCCGCGGGAAUACGUAGGUGGCAAGCGUUGUCCGGAAUUAUUGGGCGUAAAGGGCUCGCAGGCGGUUUCUUAAGUCUGAUGUGAAAGCCCCCGGCUCAACCGGGGAGGGUCAUUGGAAACUGGGAAACUUGAGUGCAGAAGAGGAGAGUAGAAUUCCACGUGUAGCGGUGAAAUGCGUAGAGAUGUGGAGGAACACCAGUGGCGAAGGCGACUCUCUGGUCUGUAACUGACGCUGAGGAGCGAAAGCGUGGGGAGCAAAUGGGAUUAGAUACCCCCGUAGUCCCUGUCUCUUAUAC